Long non-coding RNA from Ornithorhynchus anatinus (platypus), 481 nucleotides. RefSeq lists it as uncharacterized. The transcript has 3 exons. Lineage: Eukaryota; Metazoa; Chordata; Mammalia; Monotremata; Ornithorhynchidae. The record is from RefSeq and is a predicted model, not a curated record.
UCCCCAUCGGCUCAACAGGCUGUGACCUCGGGAGAGAAAGACAGAGAGUCAGAGGCUGGUCAGACGGGCGAAAUGGAAACCCACCCCUCCGGCCGCCCCGGCCCCACCACCAGACCCGGUCCGGCAUGCACGAUCGAGAGGCCGGACGCCUUCCCCGCCCCAUCCCGGGGGCGUCCCGCUUCGUCCCGGCCCCACAGGAGACGGGGAGGCGAAGGACGGGUGGUUUCAGGUGGCAGCCGACAGCCGACCGAGGUCGGAGACCAGAGCCCGAAGUCCUCGCUGGCCCGGGCACGUGGACGCGCUGCCGGCUCGAAGGCGGAGGCCAAUCUGUGCCACCGGAUCCUCUCUCCUCUUACCGUUGGCCAAAGGGCAGCUGGGAGAGUACAACGCAACAGAAUCGGUAGACGAUCCCUGCCCACAAGGAGAGCCCGGUUCCCGGGGGGGGGGAGAUGAAAUAAAUAAACUACGCAUACGUCGUAAG